This is a non-coding RNA of Phascolarctos cinereus (koala), 661 nucleotides long. Lineage: Eukaryota; Metazoa; Chordata; Mammalia; Diprotodontia; Phascolarctidae. The record is from RefSeq and is a predicted model, not a curated record.
GCCAGUCAGAAUGGGACCAGGUGUAUGAGUAGCCUCUUGACUUCCAACCUGGGGAAGAUAUAGACACCCAUGCAAAAAGAGGAGACAGAUAAACAGAGAGAGAGAGAGUGUUAGUUCAUCCAACACCAGGCAGGUCUAAGUGGUCCACGACACAGGUAAGUAGAGCAGUUGAAGACAUAAUCAGUGAAUUGCAGAGGUGGAAAAGUCCUCCAACAUACUCUAGUUCAACCUGGAUCUCAACAUGGAUUCCCUCUAUGAUGUGCAUGACAAGUAGUCACCCACCUUCCACCUGAAGUAAAUGGAUGGAGAAUUUACUUCCUCCACAGUAACCCCAUCAAUGGAGAGCACCUCAAACUCAGGAUACCCAAGACGGAAGCUCCUGAAAAGAAUUCACACAUCUUUCUGGAAUGGAGGGAAGGACCAAGAAGAUAACCUUAAACUGUCAUCUAAAAUGAGACCUUUAUUUGCAAAGUUAUGUUUGCUUAUACUGUCCUGAUAGUCUGAAUCAUUGGCUCUGUUCUCAAUAAAGUACAGAAGAUGGAUAGCUUGAGCACUUUGCUUCAGCUCUUAUAAAUCUAAUAAAUGGACCCAUCCAUAUCAUCUCUCUUGGAAUCCUUCACAUUGCCCUGGUUGGUUUUUGUUGCAGAUAAGAAAAGGGAAU